RNAcentral lists this ribosomal RNA (402 nucleotides) under uncultured prokaryote. RNAcentral's name for it is "bacterial SSU rRNA". It matches the Rfam family "Bacterial small subunit ribosomal RNA", at positions 355 to 774 of the family's 1533-position model. The record is from RNAcentral.
UAGGGAAUAUUAGAAAUGGACGAAAGUCUGAUCUAGCAACACCGCGUGUGCGAAGAAGGCCUUCGGGUUGUAAAGCACUUUUUGGAAGGAUUAGGAAGGAAUGUACUUCCAGAAUAAGUCUCGGCUAACUACGUGCCAGCAGCCGCGGUAACACGUAGGAGGCAAACGUUAUCCGGAUUUACUGGGCGUAACGCGCGGGUAGGUGGUUCUGUAAGUAGGGCGUGAAAGCUCCUGGCUCAACUUGGAGAGGCCGUUCUAAACUGCAGAGCUAGAGGAUGGUAGAGGGAGGUGGAAUUCCGGGUGUAGCGGUGGAAUGCGCAGAUAUCCGGAGUAACACCAGUGGCGAAAGCGGCCUCCUGGACCAUUCCUGACACUCAGACGCGAAAGCUAGGGUAGCAAACG